This 308-nucleotide long non-coding RNA is filed under the name Gossypium raimondii (Peruvian cotton). Its description in RNAcentral is "long non-coding RNA (GRAI_LNC008303)". Lineage: Eukaryota; Viridiplantae; Streptophyta; Magnoliopsida; Malvales; Malvaceae. The record is from RNAcentral.
UUUGGCAUUGUGUUUAUUUUAUUUCUGGAGAUUACUAUUUUUUUAUUUUUUAUUAUUUUUAUUUGUAUUUUCUUUUACUAUUACAUUUGGUGUUAUUAUUAUUUUGUUUAUUUUUUUUAGUCUUAGGAUUAUUGUUUUUUAUUUUCGCUUUCAUUUGGUAACUUGUCUUAUUAUGCUGUUUUUAUUUUUGUUCAUUUCUAUUUUUCAAUCAUUCUUAUUAUGAUUAUUAGUUAGUUUUAUUUUUGGUUAUGCUUAUAAGUCAUUUUGAUAUUUGUGAAAUUAUUUUAGGAUUUGAUAAUUCCUUUUUC